GCGUCAGCAAGCAAUGAGGUCACCAGUCAGGGGAGACUGAAUAGCCCCUAGGAUUUGAUUACUGACCCCACAAAAUCACAUGAAAUGGUCUUGGACUACUUCAGGCUAUUCAUCCAUCUACUCCAGUAAUACCCACUCUGACUGUGAUCUUUCUAACCGGCACCAACCGGCCUUCUACAGACCCCCUCUGGACUGCAGCUCUGCCUAAGCAUGACAGGGCAUUAUAAAAAAAAAAAUUAAGCUAUGGACCAAGAAAUUCUAAAUUCUGCAACCUAUGAGGACUAUGCUCAUUUAGAAAAGAAGCACAAGUAGCCUCCAUGGCACAGAACAUCUUCAAGCAGCUUCAGCUGGCAGCCCAAUGACGACUCUACCAGGACAGGGAUACACUGGCUUCAGCUGCCUAUGCUCUGAUAAUCUCCAGGGCCACUGAAAUUCUACAGCCACAGUGAUAGUAGCAAGGGUGACUGACAGCCCAAUGAGCCAGCAGCAAAUCUGUAGAUCAGAGGUUGCAGCUCAGAGGCCAGGCACGUGCUCUUCAUUUAGAAGAUCCUUCCCUAAAGGUUUGCAGCUGCACCAGCCAGUCCAGAAGCCUUCUGUGGUGAGCAAUAAGACCAAUGCUAAGUGCUUCUCAAGAUGGAGAGUCCAAUGCUUAAUUAUGUACACACAAAGGCAGGGCUGGCACAACUACUGGGGUAGAUUAGAUGACCUCCUGGGGUACCAAAGCUGCAAGGGGACCUGCCUUGGCUAUGUAGGUGUCUUGAAGAGAGAAAGACUGCCUGUACUUCUGGAGGAAGCUUGAAAAAUGAAAUGGACUGCCUUAGUUUGAUCAAAUAUCUCCUGAAUUCCAGAGACUGAUCUCCACUCCAUCAGCUGUUUAAUAAUAAUAACAACAGCAGCAAAUUUAACAAAAAAGGGGGGAAAACAAAACAAGAAAGAAAAAAGUGAAGUGGGAGGACAACCACCAAAAAAACACUUGUCAGCUCACAUUGAUACAAUAAGCAUCAAUAGUUCCAUCUUAAAUUUAACAUGUAAAUUGAUGUACGCCAUCCAGAUACUGGGGUAGUGGUUAAAGCACCUCACUGGGACCUGGGGAACAUGGGUUCAAGUCCCCACUCAGCAAUGAAACACUGGGUACACAUUGGGCCAGUCUGGGUCUCUCAGCCUAGUCUACCUCACAGGGUUGUUGUAAGGAUAAAAUGGGGAGGGCAGGGAGACUGCAAUACCCCAUCUUCAACUCCUUGGAGGAAAGCGGCAUGUAAAUGUAAUAACAUAGGACACUCUUAUAAUUAGUCAGACCAUUGGUCCAUGUAGCUCAGUAUUGUCUACAAUGACUAGCAGCAGCUGUCCUGCAUUUCAGACUGGUGACAAUUCCCACCUCUACCUAGAGAUUGAGCCUGGAGCCUUCUGCAUGCAAAGCAACUGCUCUACUACCAGUAGUGUAGUGGCAAAUUCAGAAGUGCAGGGUCCCUUCAUGACAGUCACACCAUGCCCGCUCACAGCCACACCCAUGUCCCACUUUCCCUCAGCUUCCUUGCCCUCACUGUAGUCUCUGAAUCUUCACUCCACCACAACAGACAUCCCUAGCAUCCAAUUAGCAUGAAAGGGGAGGCUGUGUGUUAGCCACUGAGAAGGCUCUUCUCAGUAGCUGACUUACCUCCUUUCAUUCUGAUUGGCUCCAAUCAGCAGGAAAGGGCAAGAACUCUUCUCAGUGGCUAACAUGCUCUCUUUUAAGUUGAUUGGCUUGUCCAUGGGGACCCUGCUCACAAAAAUGUAAGGGGUCUAACAACCCCCGCCCCCAUAAGUAUAGAAAACAUUGGCAGCUACCAAACUCAAGACUGCUCCUAUCCAAAGCCUUUGCUUAGGAGGGCAAUUCCCAAGUAGGGUGGCCAGGUGCAAGAAUGGGCAGGGCUCCUUCACCUUGAACAGCAGAGGGAAUUUCAGCAGGUGGAGCU
Rhineura floridana is the source of this 1952-nucleotide long non-coding RNA. RefSeq lists it as uncharacterized. The transcript has 4 exons. The record is from RefSeq and is a predicted model, not a curated record. Lineage: Eukaryota; Metazoa; Chordata; Lepidosauria; Squamata; Rhineuridae.